This is a long non-coding RNA of Orbicella faveolata, 1411 nucleotides long. The record is from RefSeq and is a predicted model, not a curated record. Lineage: Eukaryota; Metazoa; Cnidaria; Anthozoa; Scleractinia; Merulinidae.
GAUCAAUAACGAUUUUUUAAAACCUAAGUAAGCGAAUAUUAAAGUACCUACGAAAUGUCUUUCAGAACAAUUUCAUGUACUCACUAAAUGCUCGAACAAAUUUGAUAGCCUAAUUAAGGAGACACUUUUUAUCAGAAAACUUAAACCAUCUCUAAAUGUGCAAACGGACUUGAUUCACGCAAAGGUAUUCACUUGAUGAACUCCUUUGUUGUUAUUUUGAUUUGUAGAGACUGUAGAAGUAUAGAAAUCAAAUCUUCGCAUUAAUUUAUUGCGGGCUUAUGCAUUAUAACUGCAUAAGGCCCGCGAAGUCAGGACAAAUCUUGUGGAUAUGUAUGUAUACGGGAUGACACGUGACAGACUUCUGGGAGCACAUUUUGCCCUAUAGGUAGACUGGGUCUACCUUUUGAGUGAUGCUUUGAGUGAUCCUUCGCCGGGUCCUUCGAUGCCAGCCAUUGCCAGCGUUCUGCAGCCUUUGCUGGGCGUAUCUUUUCAUAUCAUGCUGUCUGCGCCCAUAUUUUUACUUUUUUCCCUUCACUUAACACAAGCGCGCAUCGCAAAGGCAAACGACUAAAAAACGAAUAAAAAAAUUAGUAAAAAAAAAAAAAAAUGCCUGUCUCUCUAGGAUGUGAACUCACAGCCUCCAGGUCUCUAAAGCAGAUAACUUCUCUGCUGCGCCACACCGACGACUGUAUUUGACUUAGAGAAAACAUUGAUUUUAUCGGUUUGUAGGGAAGCGCUGAGUAGUUAGAACGGCAGGCUCAGCCUCAAGUACGUUCCUAGCACGAACCGACAAGUCCUGCGAAAGUAUUACCAAACACAUUUAUUAUCGUAUUUUUAUCAUUCUAGGAAUUGUCCACUCGUAAGACUAGAAUACGCGAACCCAAUGGAACAACACUAGCCAUGAGCCCACAAGUACGCAUUGCGGACCGUUUAUUCAUUUUGCCUUGAGAAUGGUGUCACGAUGACGCCGAAACGUCGGCUAUUAACUUAAAUAUUCGCUUGCUUAGAUUAUAUAUCAGUGCUGAAAACAUAAUGAAUAUACACCAUGUACAUACUUGGGGGCAGGACGUUCUAGAACUUUAGAAAGUUCCUCUGAGACAUAUUUCACUUUGGAGUAAGAAGACAUGAGGUUUUUAAAGGGGCAUGACCGUUGUUUAGGGUCUGUGUAUAAAUAAUUGCACUAAUACCUAAGUUUUUUUGUCCUUCAGGGAUCCGUAUACAAGUUUCUCAUGCAGCCUAUAAGAGAAAGUACACCGUGUGGGGAGUAUCAAGUGUUUCUGCAGAAAAGCUACAGUUUGAUGUUGAGGAUGGAGCAACUGGUCGCAAAAGCAAAACAACUGUUGCACAGUAUUUUAAGGAUACAUACAAGUUGCAUUUAAGAUAUCCUCACCUACCCUGCUUACAAGUUGGC